GAUGAACGCUGGCGGCGUGCCUAACACAUGCAAGUCGAACGGAAAGGCGCGGCUCUUGCGUGGCUCUCGAUUGGCGAACGGGUGAGUAACACGCGUGUAACCUCCCCCUGACUUUGUGAUAACUCCAGGAAACUGGGGCUAUAAUCGGAUAGGAGCUUUUGCUCCGUGGGGGGGGUAGGAAAGAUUCGGCGGUGGGGGAUGGACUCGCAGCUUAUCAGCUUGUUUGUGGGGUAGUGACUGACCAAGGUUUCGACGGGUAGCCGGCCUGGGAGGGUGGCCGGCCACAAUGGGACUACGAGACGGACCAGAAUCCUACGGGAGGCAGCGGUCGGGAGUAUUGCGGAGUGGGCGGGAGCGUGUUGCGGAGGCGCCGGGUGCGUGAUGACGGCUUUCGGGUUGUGAACCGCUUUCUCAUUUGACGAAGAGUGAGUGACGGUAAUGGGUAAAGAAGCACCGGCUAACUACGUG
This 468-nucleotide ribosomal RNA is filed under the name uncultured bacterium. RNAcentral describes it as "partial 16S ribosomal RNA". It matches the Rfam family "Bacterial small subunit ribosomal RNA", at positions 28 to 507 of the family's 1533-position model. The record is from RNAcentral.